Molecule: ribosomal RNA, 487 nt
Filed under: uncultured bacterium
Lineage: Bacteria
Description: bacterial SSU rRNA
Rfam family: Bacterial small subunit ribosomal RNA
Source: RNAcentral
GAUGAACGCUAGCGACAGGCUUAACACAUGCAAGUCGAGGGGCAGCGGGGUGUAGCAAUACACCGCCGGCGACCGGCGCACGGGUGAGUAACGCGUAUGCAACUUACCUAUCAGAGGGGGAUAACCCGGCGAAAGUCGGACUAAUACCGCAUGAAGCAGGGGCCCCGCAUGGGGAUAUUUGCUAAAGAUUCAUCGCUGAUAGAUAGGCAUGCGUUCCAUUAGGCAGUUGGCGGGGUAACGGCCCACCAAACCGACGAUGGAUAGGGGUUCUGAGAGGAAGGUCCCCCACAUUGGAACUGAGACACGGUCCAAACUCCUACGGGAGGCAGCAGUGAGGAAUAUUGGUCAAUGGGCGAGAGCCUGAACCAGCCAAGUAGCGUGAAGGAUGACUGCCCUAUGGGUUGUAAACUUCUUUUAUAAAGGAAUAAAGUCGGGUAUGGAUACCCGUUUGCAUGUACUUUAUGAAUAAGGAUCGGCUAACUCCGUG